This 505-nucleotide ribosomal RNA is filed under the name Acinetobacter sp. RNAcentral's name for it is "bacterial SSU rRNA". It matches the Rfam family "Bacterial small subunit ribosomal RNA", at positions 56 to 556 of the family's 1533-position model. Lineage: Bacteria; Pseudomonadati; Pseudomonadota; Gammaproteobacteria; Moraxellales; Moraxellaceae. The record is from RNAcentral.
UGCAGUCGAGCGGGGAAGGGUAGCUUGCUACCUGACCUAGCGGCGGACGGGUGAGUAAUGCUUAGGAAUCUGCCUAUUAGUGGGGGACAACAUUCCGAAAGGAAUGCUAAUACCGCAUACGCCCUACGGGGGAAAGCAGGGGAUCUUCGGACCUUGCGCUAAUAGAUGAGCCUAAGUCAGAUUAGCUAGUUGGUGGGGUAAAGGCCUACCAAGGCGACGAUCUGUAGCGGGUCUGAGAGGAUGAUCCGCCACACUGGGACUGAGACACGGCCCAGACUCCUACGGGAGGCAGCAGUGGGGAAUAUUGGACAAUGGGCGAAAGCCUGAUCCAGCCAUGCCGCGUGUGUGAAGAAGGCCUUUUGGUUGUAAAGCACUUUAAGCGAGGAGGAGGCUACUUGGAUUAAUACUCUAGGAUAGUGGACGUUACUCGCAGAAUAAGCACCGGCUAACUCUGUGCCAGCAGCCGCGGUAAUACAGAGGGUGCGAGCGUUAAUCGGAUUUACUG